RNAcentral lists this small RNA (24 nucleotides) under Brassica napus (rape). RNAcentral describes it as "PsRNA_67". Lineage: Eukaryota; Viridiplantae; Streptophyta; Magnoliopsida; Brassicales; Brassicaceae. The record is from RNAcentral.
CAUGGAGUUCACUAAUGCAGAUGC